AAGUCGUAACAAGGUCUCCGUUGGUGAACCAGCGGAGGGAUCAUUACCGAGUUUUCAACUCCCAACCCAUGUGAACAUACCUCUGUUGCUUCGGCGGACCGCCCCCCCGGUGCCCUUUGGGGCGCUGGAGCCAGGCGCCCGCCGGGGACCCUAUACUCUUGUAUUUUUUCUUUUUUCAGAACCCGCGUACGCGCAACAAACAUCAAAACUUUCAACAAUGGAUCUCUUGGCUCUA
This 235-nucleotide unclassified non-coding RNA is filed under the name fungal sp. Its description in RNAcentral is "partial internal transcribed spacer region". The stretch from base 1 to 46 matches the Rfam family "Eukaryotic small subunit ribosomal RNA", at positions 1786 to 1831 of the family's 1831-position model. The record is from RNAcentral. Lineage: Eukaryota; Fungi.